This 460-nucleotide ribosomal RNA is filed under the name uncultured bacterium. RNAcentral describes it as "partial 16S ribosomal RNA". It matches the Rfam family "Bacterial small subunit ribosomal RNA", at positions 338 to 795 of the family's 1533-position model. The record is from RNAcentral.
CCUACGGGUGGCAGCAGUGAGGAAUAUUGGUCAAUGGUCGGGAGACUGAACCAGCCAAGCCGCGUGAGGGAUGAAGGUACAGAGUAUCGUAAACCUCUUUUGUCAGGGAACAAAGGCGGGGACGCGUCCCCGGAUGAGUGUACCUGAAGAAAAAGCAUCGGCUAACUCCGUGCCAGCAGCCGCGGUAAUACGGAGGAUGCGAGCGUUAUCCGGAUUUAUUGGGUUUAAAGGGUGCGCAGGCCGUCUGUUAAGUCAGCGGUGAAAGGCCCGGGCUCAACCCCGGCCCCGCGGUUGAAACUGGCAGUCUUGAGUUGGAGAGAAGUAGGCGGAAUGCGCGGUGUAGCGGUGAAAUGCAUAGAUAUCGCGCAGAACUCCGAUUGCGAAGGCAGCAUGCCGGCUCCAAACUGACGCUGAGGCACGAAAGCGUGGGUAUCGAACAGGAUUAGAUACCCUAGUAGUC